Molecule: ribosomal RNA, 465 nt
Filed under: uncultured bacterium
Lineage: Bacteria
Description: bacterial SSU rRNA
Rfam family: Bacterial small subunit ribosomal RNA
Source: RNAcentral
UUCCAGACUCCUACGGGAGGCAGCAGUGAGGAAUAUUGGUCAAUGGUCGGGAGACUGAACCAGCCAAGCCGCGUGAGGGAUGAAGGUACAGAGUAUCGUAAACCUCUUUUGUCAGGGAACAAAGGCGGGGACGUGUCCCCGGAUGAGUGUACCUGAAGAAAAAGCAUCGGCUAACUCCGUGCCAGCAGCCGCGGUAAUACGGAGGAUGCGAGCGUUAUCCGGAUUUAUUGGGUUUAAAGGGUGCGCAGGCGGUCUGUUAAGUCAGCGGUCAAAUGUCGGGGCUCAACCCCGGCCUGCCGUUGAAACUGGCGGCCUCGAGUGGGCGAGAAGUAUGCGGAAUGCGUGGUGUAGCGGUGAAAUGCAUAGAUAUCACGCAGAACUCCGAUUGCGAAGGCAGCAUACCGGCGCCCGACUGACGCUGAGGCACGAAAGCGUGGGUAUCGAACAGGAUUAGAUACCCUAGUA